CCUACGGGAGGCAGCAGUCGAGAAUCAUUCACAAUGGGGGAAACCCUGAUGGUGCGACGCCGCGUGGGGGAAUGAAGGUCUUCGGAUUGUAAACCCCUGUCAUGUGUGAGCAAAUUAAAAAGAUAGUACCACAAGAGGAAGAGACGGCUAACUCUGUGCCAGCAGCCGCGGUAAUACAGAGGUCUCAAGCGUUGUUCGGAAUCACUGGGCGUAAGGCGUGCGUAGGCUGUUUCGUAAGUCGUGUGUGAAAGGCGCGGGCUCAACCCGCGGACGGCACAUGAUACUGCGAGACUAGAGUAAUGGAGGGGGAACCGGAAUUCUCGGUGUAGCAGUGAAAUGCGUAGAUAUCGAGAGGAACACUCGUGGCGAAGGCGGGUUCCUGGACAUUAACUGACGCUGAGGCACGAAGGCCAGGGGAGCGAAAGGGAUUAGAUACCCCUGUAGUC
RNAcentral lists this ribosomal RNA (446 nucleotides) under uncultured bacterium. RNAcentral describes it as "partial 16S ribosomal RNA". It matches the Rfam family "Bacterial small subunit ribosomal RNA", at positions 338 to 795 of the family's 1533-position model. The record is from RNAcentral.